UACGUAGGGUGCGAGCGUUAAUCGGAAUUACUGGGCGUAAAGCGUGCGCAGGUGGUUCGCUAAGACAGAUGUGAAAUCCCCGGGCUCAACCUGGGAACUGCGUUUGUGACUGGCGGGCUAGAGUGCGGAAGAGGGAGGUGGAAUUCCACGUGUAGCAGUGAAAUGCGUAGAGAUGUGGAGGAACACCGAUGGCGAAGGCAGCCUCCUGGUCUAGCACUGACGCUCAUGCACGAAAGCGUGGGGAGCAAACAGG
RNAcentral lists this ribosomal RNA (253 nucleotides) under uncultured bacterium. Its description in RNAcentral is "partial 16S ribosomal RNA". It matches the Rfam family "Bacterial small subunit ribosomal RNA", at positions 524 to 776 of the family's 1533-position model. The record is from RNAcentral.